CAGCCGCGCGGGAAUACGUAGGGUGCAAGCGUUAAUCGGAAUUACUGGGCGUAAAGCGUGCGCAGGCGGUUAUAUAAGACAGAUGUGAAAUCCCCGGGCUCAACCUGGGAACUGCAUUUGUGACUGUAUAGCUAGAGUACGGCAGAGGGGGAUGGAAUUCCGCGUGUAGCAGUGAAAUGCGUAGAUAUGCGGAGGAACACCGAUGGCGAAGGCAAUCCCCUGGGCCUGUACUGACGCUCAUGCACGAAAGCGUGGGGAGCAAACAGGAUUAGAGACCCCUGUAGUCCCUGUCUCUUAUACA
Molecule: ribosomal RNA, 301 nt
Filed under: uncultured bacterium
Lineage: Bacteria
Description: partial 16S ribosomal RNA
Rfam family: Bacterial small subunit ribosomal RNA
Source: RNAcentral